Molecule: unclassified non-coding RNA, 1125 nt
Filed under: Leishmania donovani
Lineage: Eukaryota; Euglenozoa; Kinetoplastea; Trypanosomatida; Trypanosomatidae
Description: gene:LdHU3.36.2630(CDS-product:60S_ribosomal_prot ein_L37a)
Source: RNAcentral
UCGUUUCUCGUUCUAGCCAUGGCGAAACGCACAGUGAAGAUGGGUGUGAUGGGCCGCUACGGCACCCGUUACGGCGCAAACCCGCGCAAGCGCGCGAAGAAGCUUGAAGUGUCCCAGCACGCCAAGCACUUCUGCUCCUUCUGCGGUAAGUUUGCAUUCCGCCGCAAGGCUGUCGGCAUCUGGCGUUGCGACGGCUGCAGCAAGACGGUUGCCGGUGGUGCGUACACCCUGAGCACUCCCAACAACAGCACCGUCCGCUCCACGGUCCGCCGUCUGCGCGAGCUGGCCAAGAUUUAAGCCGGCUGUGAGACGAGAAACGUGCCGCCCCGGAGGACGCGAGGCUGGGGGAACCAUCCUUCGCAACGGUGGUGCUAGCGGUGGUGGUGGCGUGAGCGCAGCGUGAGAGGGAAUCGGCGUUAAGUCUGUGUGCGCGUAUGCUUCACGUAUCGCGUGCUCUCUCCCUCUCUCACCCCUCUUUUCUUUUCGCAGGUCCUUUCCCCUCAUACUCUCGCUCUGUUAUGCCACCGGAUGCUUGGAAGGCGUCCCCUCCGUGUGCAGUGCGGGCGCCACGAUACACGUCUUUUUUUCUUUUUUUUUUUGCUUUGCUCUCUCUCGUCGACGAGGUGAAAAGAGCAGGAAAAAACGACCGCAACGCCAUGACAAACGAACACACGCACUCACACACCUUGAUGUGUUCUCUGAGAUAUGCCCAUGGCAGGUGAAGGAGCUUCGCAGGCGGAACGGGCGGGUAAGCGCAGAUGUGUGAGCCCAUGGUUGCUAUGCCUCUGGGCUCCCUUCGUUGUUGCCUUCGCUGCGCGUUUGGGUCUACGCCGCUUCUCACGUGUGUGUGGCGUGGCUUAGCGUCGCCGCUGCUCUUGCACAACCUACCUGCGUGUGCCUCUCUCCGCUGUAAGGCAGAGAGCGCAGAAGGAAGGAGCUGUCAAGCGUGUGACACACGUGGGGCACUAGAGGGCGCGCAUGCAAUGUAGCCUGCAGCGCAUCCGGCCGAACAGGCGGUUGUGCCAGUCUGCUUCCGCCUGCUCUCCUGCUUCACUCUCCCUUUCCUCUUUCCUCUUUCUCCUGACAUCUUCGCUACGCCUGCGCGUGCGUUGGACUGCCAUGCAG